Molecule: long non-coding RNA, 353 nt
Filed under: Sorghum bicolor (sorghum)
Lineage: Eukaryota; Viridiplantae; Streptophyta; Magnoliopsida; Poales; Poaceae
Description: long non-coding RNA (SBIC_LNC008495)
Source: RNAcentral
UGUGCGUAUAAAUACCAUAGUACACUCUAGUGCCAUGCUGGGGAUGACAACCUAGUAUUCAAGUGGUGUUAGCAAGUGUCAACAAGCACCACGACUACACAAUAUCUAUCAUUUACCCAUGGAUCCGACGGAUAAACGCUAUACAAUCCUAAACAUGUAUAUAGAUCCAAUCUAACUAAGCCAAGUUCAUAACUAUGAUAAACUAGGAACAAUAUAAUCUUGAAUAUAAACAAGUAGAGCAAAGUCAUAAGCAAUAUAUUGAAGUAGAACAAAGUCAUAUUCAUAAUAUUGAAGAACAAAGAUAAUUAGAAGAACAAUUAGAAGAACAAUUAGAGAAUUAUCAAGAAUCCUCU